Long non-coding RNA from Drosophila sechellia, 1092 nucleotides. RefSeq lists it as uncharacterized. The record is from RefSeq and is a predicted model, not a curated record. Lineage: Eukaryota; Metazoa; Arthropoda; Insecta; Diptera; Drosophilidae. The transcript is spliced from 4 exons.
GUAGUUCGAUGGAGAAUUUUCGACAUUCUUUUUGCACAUCUAUAGAAAGUGCCAAGACAAAUAAUUUUCUGAAAAAAAUGGGAACAUUUUUGAAAAGUGUUGGCAUGGCAGUUUUGGACAAACUGCUCUAGAAUAUGGAGCAUAAGUCUCAACGCCCUGACUUUUUAUAGUUCCUCAGAUCUAGAAAUUUAUACGGACGGAAAUGGACAAAUCGCGGUUUUUAUUAUUUUACGAAAAUUGAAGCAGUAGUCAACCUGCGCUGCAUACAGGCUUAGUCCCAACUAGCACUUAAGGUUCGCGAUGUUCCCAAGUUCAUACAAUCGGGCAGACGGACAAAAGACCAUGGGAAAGCACGACUCGUUUUGUAAUCAUGGACUACAGAGAACUCAUAUACACCCACUUACAAAAAAUCCAAUUUAAUUUUUCGCUGCUCAAGUCACAAAACUAUUGACAAUGAAGACAAACCCGGAUCAAAUAAAACCACAAGGUCCACCCAAAUAAUACGCCUCUAAGAGAAGGAAUUGAACAACAUUGUAAAUGAACCAACACCACCAAAAACGAAACAGGACGUAGAAGAUUAAUUGCCCUUCAUACCUAAAAUAUUGGAAAUGUAAAGCGACAGCUAACUGAGCUCGCCAACCGUUGAAAUCCGACGAACAUAGCGUAAGGCUCGUGUGGUUGUUUGAAGAUAUUCCAAGACGCACGCGCAAAGGUCCACCUGCUCCUUGUCGGUUAUGUGGGUGGUGCUCUUUUCCUGGAAUCUCAGCCUUAUUUCAUUGUGACGAUUAUCGAUAUGAUUGCGUGCUACGAGCUUUCGCUCGAUCCUCAACUGUGGUGAAGGAUCAUGUAAUGCCCGUCCUUCCUUGGCCAUUCUAUACAGAAAAUCCCAAAAAGUUAUCAUCCUGAAUGGCCCCUCACAGGGAAUACAUCCUAGUCAGAGUUUUUUUACAGCUAUUAUACGGACGGAAGGAUGAUCUCCUUGGAAAAUAAUUAAAUUAGACAAAAUAGUUUUAGAUUUAAGAAACUUAUCAGACUUGCAACCCAAGAAAUAAUUAAAAAUAAAAUACAUUGCUCUGGGCAUAGAACACCAUA